UUUUUUGUUUUUCAGUUACCUAUAUGUAUUAUAUAUUAAAUGGUAAUUUAUAAGCUAAGCUAAUUAUUUUGUUUAACAAUAAAUGUAUAGCUGCUUGGCUCUUACGUACCGCAAAUUUACUUUCUCAUUUCUCAAUUUGGAUUUCUUAAUUUUUCUCUAUAUGUAUUUUAUUUUAUUUCAGUAUGUUUGUUUUUAUUUUUUAUUAUUUCACUUAUGUUUAAAUAACGAAAAAAUUAAACUUUUAUUUGCAGCUUCUUUGCCAUAAGGAACAGAAAUGAUAAUCAGAAAAAUAAUAAUAAACGUAAGAAUUCAAUUCUAAAUAUGAUGAGGAAAAUUUCCAAAAUUUAAAUAAAAAAGUUUCACAAAAAUUAUAUCAUCAGAUUAGUUGUAAUAGUUAUAUAUAUAAAUGAAUAUAUAAAUUUAUUCAAUAACAAAAUUAUAUUGAUUUUGAAACAGAUUUUGAUGUGUUUUUUUCUUUCGAGAGUUACUGAGAUUAACUCGCAGAGCUUUACGAAUUACAAAUUUUGCAGUACAAAAUAAGUAUAUAUAUAUAUAAAUAUAUAUCUAUACAGUACAAGCCACACCCACAGCAACAGAAAGAAAAACCAAACAGAAAAUGUUUAUAAAGAUUCAAGUGACAGCAGUCGUCAGUUCGGGGUUUGUAGCGUAUCCAUGUAGUCGGUGUCAUGUCCAGUUGUAGUUUUYUUCUUCUUCUUUUUUCAUUGCUUUACUUUUGGUUGAGAUUUCUAAUGUAAUUAAAACGCAUUCAAUUAAACACACCAAAGCAAGAGGACAAAGAAUUUUGAGGUAUAUAAAUAUAUACAUAUAUAUAUAGAUAAAGCGACUGUGU
Drosophila arizonae is the source of this 850-nucleotide long non-coding RNA. Lineage: Eukaryota; Metazoa; Arthropoda; Insecta; Diptera; Drosophilidae. The record is from RefSeq and is a predicted model, not a curated record.